AUCAGAGGGGGAGUAACACUUGGAAACAGGUGCUAAUACCGCAUAACAGUUUAUGCCGCAUGGCAUAAGAGUGAAAGGCGCUUUCGGGUGUCGCUGAUGGAUGGACCCGCGGUGCAUUAGCUAGUUGGUGAGGUAACGGCUCACCAAGGCCGCGAUGCAUAGCCGACCUGAGAGGGUGAUCGGCCACACUGGGACUGAGACACGGCCCAGACUCCUACGGGAGGCAGCAUG
RNAcentral lists this ribosomal RNA (231 nucleotides) under uncultured bacterium. RNAcentral describes it as "partial 16S ribosomal RNA". It matches the Rfam family "Bacterial small subunit ribosomal RNA", at positions 132 to 353 of the family's 1533-position model. The record is from RNAcentral.